RNAcentral lists this ribosomal RNA (387 nucleotides) under uncultured eukaryote. Its description in RNAcentral is "partial Eukaryotic large subunit ribosomal RNA". It matches the Rfam family "Eukaryotic large subunit ribosomal RNA", at positions 645 to 1036 of the family's 3401-position model. The record is from RNAcentral.
UUUCCCGUCUUGGAACACGGACCAAGGAGUCUAACAUCUAUGCGAGUGUUCGGGUGUCAAACCCCUACGCGUAAUGAAAGUGAACGGAGGUGGGAACCCGCAAGGGUGCACCAUCGACCGAUCCUGAUGUCUUCGGAUGGAUUUGAGUAAGAGCAUAGCUGUUGGGACCCGAAAGAUGGUGAACUAUGCCUGAAUAGGGAGAAGCCAGGGGAAACUCUGGUGGAGGUUCGUAGCGAUUCUGACGUGCAAAUCGAUCGUCAAAUUUGGGUAUAGGGGCGAAAGACUAAUCGAACUAUCUAGUAGCUGGUUCCUGCCGAAGUUUCCCUCAGGAUAGCAGUAACGUAUUCAGUUUUAUGAGGUAAAGCGAAUGAUUAGAGGCCUCAGGGG